Molecule: transfer RNA, 70 nt
Filed under: Halolamina pelagica
Lineage: Archaea; Methanobacteriati; Methanobacteriota; Halobacteria; Halobacteriales; Haloferacaceae
Description: tRNA-Phe
Source: RNAcentral
CGGUCUCGUGGUUGGGUUUGAGCGUGACGCUGAACUCGUUGCCCUGCAGGUGACAGCCCCGCGCGACCGC